This 1425-nucleotide long non-coding RNA is filed under the name Monodelphis domestica (gray short-tailed opossum). RNAcentral's name for it is "lncRNA (ENSMODG00000047322.1)". The record is from RNAcentral. Lineage: Eukaryota; Metazoa; Chordata; Mammalia; Didelphimorphia; Didelphidae.
GAUGGGACAAAAGCCACAAAUAAGGUGUUCCACUGAUCGUACAGGAGAACCAUUUUCUCCUCAAAAGGAGCCCUGCUAUGGACUCCUCAAACCAAAUGAAACUUGGCAUUUUGUCUCUUCCACAAGUCUGCUGGCAAAGGAUUCCUGGCCUCUUUGUGACUUUGAUUAUCUCCAAGUCAUCAUUCUGGUAUUAUGGAAUUUGAAAAUGCCAUGCUUUUAUCCACUUCACUUUCUAAAGGGAUUUACCACAGCAGGUUUGGGACUUAGCAGAGGUCAUUUGAGAAUCAUCUCAAGAAAACAGAUGGUGAGAAGAUCCAGAUCAUCUAAAUCUUACAUUGUUAGCUUCUGUCAUAAAACCAAACUUGAAAGCUGCAAGUAUGCUCCUUUAAUUCUUAGGCUCGGGUAUUGCAUUUAUCAUAUCACUGCCCGACUCAACUUCCUUACCCAUAAAAUGGAGAUUAUUAUAGGACUUGGUCCCCAAGGUUGUGAGAAUCAAACGAAAUAUUAGUAAAAUGCUUAGUUAACACCUUAAGGUGCUACAGAAUGCUACUAUAAAUGCUAACCUUAAAGUGUUAUAUAAAGGCUAUUUAAAAAUUAUUGUGUAUUAUAGCCAGGUAUUACUUCCUUGCAUUAUUAUAACCAGGAAUUCCCUCCUUACAAAGAUAUUUUAGACACACACAAUAUGAAUGUCUGGUGUGUGUGUGUGUGUGUGUGUGGAUUUGAUCACAGGUGGAAUGUGUUUUGUCCCUAGGUACCAAGUAGAGAAAAGUACAAUACUGAUGUGGGCUAAAGUGUCCCAUAGACUGUAAAUAACUUGAAAAAUAGAGACAAUAACUAGUUGAUAAGGCAUGAUAAGACAUGUGAGUUGUUUAGAUUCACAGGUAUAAGAAAACUCCUCACAUCAAUAUUUAGACAUAACCUAGGUCCUUCAGUGGAGGUCUCUGAACAGCAAGUACCGUAGGUUCAGUUCCCCAGUCACACAGAAGUAGGUUCAAAUAAUGCUAUAUUUCCACAAUCCCUGCCUUGCUUGGAGUCUCUGCAGAAAAAAGCAAAACUUGACCUAAAGUUGCCCCAGGGUAUUUAACAUAUCAUUAGCAUCUCAUUUACAUUGCCUUUCAGUGGGCAAACUGAGUGAACCAUGGGUAAAGCCAUGAGGACCAAAGUGGACCAUGGGUAAAAUGACAUCAGUUCCCUGGAGACACCAGGGCAACAACUGUCCAAACGAAUGACCCCUUCCUUGGAAACUAAUCAAGAUAAAAAAUGUUCCUGAGAACCCCUUCCCACCUUUUACCUUUAUUCAUCACAUCUCCUUACCUCCUUUCCUUUUGUUACUUAUUUACUUACUAUACUAGCUAGCUAACUGUCUAUAGUCACUCAGUAACUAUAGUCUCUAAUAAUAAAGCUUGUUUCCUAGCAAUGAAAUCA